Molecule: long non-coding RNA, 298 nt
Filed under: Selaginella moellendorffii
Lineage: Eukaryota; Viridiplantae; Streptophyta; Lycopodiopsida; Selaginellales; Selaginellaceae
Description: long non-coding RNA (SMOE_LNC002329)
Source: RNAcentral
UUUAGAAUUAUAUCCCGGCAAAUUUCAAAGCAAACACGAACGCCACUGGCAAAGACAGAGGGAAAACGUGAGGUUCUCUCUAACCUCUUUCGCAUCCUCUGGACUGUGCAACUCCUCACGAGGCUCCCCUUCCGCUUGCUCGGGAUCACCGUAAUCAACAAAGAGGUCCUGGGCCUUGAGCCUUUUCACCUCUUUCCUCCAAGCUUGGAUCUCCGCCUGAAGAUCAGUCUCCCCAACAUCAAUCAAGAAAUUGUGCAAGAUGCAACAACUCUUGAUGAUGUUGGGAAGGUACUUUGAC